Molecule: ribosomal RNA, 59 nt
Filed under: Bacillus thuringiensis
Lineage: Bacteria; Bacillati; Bacillota; Bacilli; Caryophanales; Bacillaceae
Also listed under: 1 other name
Source: RNAcentral
GCAGAGAGGCCACACCCGUUCCCAUACCGAACACGGAAGUUAAGCUCUCUAGCGCCGAU